This is a long non-coding RNA of Hippopotamus amphibius kiboko, 2042 nucleotides long. RefSeq lists it as uncharacterized. Lineage: Eukaryota; Metazoa; Chordata; Mammalia; Artiodactyla; Hippopotamidae. The record is from RefSeq and is a predicted model, not a curated record. The transcript has 3 exons.
ACCAAAUAAUGUAUUACAAUCAAAGGCAUACAGUCUAGCAGGUACAGGGCAGGGUGCAUUCUGUCCUCACUCAAACACUUUCCGUGGGAUCUUGGUAAGUACUGAAAUAUGUCUGGGUCUGUAAAAGAGAGCAGUAAAACCUCUCCUUCCCUGUCAGGAAUAGGGAAAUUGGGCUGGUGAUCUUUUAAUCCCCUAAUUCCAAACCCUAUGACUCUAAUCCAGUAAAAUCUGGAACUGUAAGAAGGAAGAGUGCAUGACUAGGGUGAUUUCUCAAAAUUAUCUCUUGACCUAGCAUCACUGACAUAGUACAGAGUCUGCUGGCGGAGGGGGUGUAGAGAGGGCAGUAGGCUCUCAAGGCAGGGCACCUCAGAAGGUGAUGAGAAAUCUGUGGAAAUGAAAGCCAAAAGAUGACCCCAGACCUCUGACCAGUACUUACCGCGCACCUGAUCACCCUUAUCAGCCGUUACCUACCUACUGCCCUAAUCAGGUCCUAAUGAGUUUCAGCGAGAAAACUGAAAAGUAACUUACGUGCAAUCAACCAUGGUUCGGGGACAAAAGGGAAUAUUAGAAUUUUCCCGUUCACCAAGCACUGUCCAAAGGGGACCCUAGUUUUAGCAGCCAGGAUCCUGAGUCUUGAACAUGGCCUGAAUGAAAUAUUCAUCCAAGCUGCUCAAGCCUGGGUGUUGUCUCUGACUCAGAAAUUAUCAGUCUUUUCAUUAGCUUUCCAAGAACCUUGCUGUGGAGAAGGGGAAGCACCAGGUGAGGAUCAUUGACGCUCUGGGUCCUAGGAAGUUAUGGACCCUUAUAGCAUUCCCACUUAUAAAUGGGUCUUUUGUUGAGUUCAUUCUUUUGAAUUAGUUUUUCGGGAUCGAAAUACUUCUGAGUGCAUUGAGAAAAUCAAAUUUUGAAAGCUACAAAGCAGGACACAAUUUAUAGCGUCUCCACAAGGGAGCAGGCACUCAGUAAGGCAGCCGUGAACUAUAGUCCCUCCCCCGCGGCCCUCCACCUCUUAGCCUUUCCUAGCUCUCUCGGACAUCUUAACUCGGCAGCAGCUACUAUCAGAAGCCCUCUUUUCGAAGAGAGAGGGAUGCCUACUGUUCCCGUUCCUCCGACAAGUAGGACGUGGUUGUGCGGGGCGUACGGGAUUGAUUUUACCCCAAAUCCUCCAUCCCUUGCCGGACUCCCCGGUACCAACUGAGGAUACAGCGCCUCCCUUUGUUAGUGCUGUGGAAUCAGGACCGGAGCCAGGGAGAGGUCCUGGUAGCUGUAAAUACAUGCCGCCCAUCCCCACCCCCUCACAUGUAGAGCUGUGUAAUGAACCCCAACCCCCUGAAGAGGUUCCAUAGACCCCGGAGGUUCCACAGAUCACAGUUUUGAAACUACUGGAUUGGAACUAAAAUGUGACCCCUCUGCAUUACUAAAUGGGUCAGUUGACCCAGAUGAGGAUGUCCAAACCAGGCACUCCACCGUGAUGAUAAUUAUCCAAGCAGAACUUUUCGAUGAUAGCACAGGAGAAAAAGAAAAUUCUUCACGCCCUUGGAAAUAGAGAGUUGCCGUCCAUAGAAAGUGAGGAGUUAACCUUAGUUUCAGUGAAGAUGGCUGUGAGAAGCUGGACAACCUGUCACCACCGGAGCCAGAGCAUUUGUCAGCUCACAGGUCCCAAGUUAUUUUGAGCUGUAUAAACCAUGUGCCUGUGAAACAUUCCACCUGAUUGGAUAGGAGAAAACUGAGCAAAGGGAUUCCACAGCAGGACAGCACCUAUGGGCGGUGGGGGUCAAUCAGUUUUCCUACCUAUAGAGUUUCACUUACAGCUAGAGUCUCAAGUUGUUUCUUGAUUUAUGUUUGGAAUUAAUACUAAAUUCAUCAUUGCACAUUCCAUCUGUCAAAGAAAAUGGCAUUAUUUUUGAAAUAUGUAAAAAUUCUUAAUUUUUAUGAGAAUUUGUUUUUUUAAUAAUUAAUUUUUAUUGGAAUAUAGUUGCUUUACAAUGUUGUAUUAGUUUCUACCAUACAGCAAAGUGAAUCAGCUAUAUAUGUAUACAUAU